GUCCUACGGGUGGCAGCAGUGAGGAAUAUUGGUCAAUGGACGCAAGUCUGAACCAGCCAUGCCGCGUGAAGGAUGAAGGCCUUCUGGGUUGUAAACUUCUUUUAUUGGGGAAGAAAAUUACGGUUUCUACUGUAACCGACGGUACCCAAUGAAUAAGCACCGGCUAACUCCGUGCCAGCAGCCGCGGUCAUACGGAGGGUGCAAGCGUUAUCCGGAUUCACUGGGUUUAAAGGGUGUGUAGGCGGGCUAUUAAGUCAGUGUUGAAAUCUCCGGGCUCAACCCGGUAACUGCCAUUGAUACUAUUAGUCUUGAAGAUCGUUGAGGUAGGCGGAAUAUAUCAUGUAGCGGUGAAAUGCAUAGAUAUGAUAUAGAACACCAAUUGCGAAGGCAGCUUGCUAAACGAUGAUUGACGCUGAGGCACGAAAGCGUGGGGAUCAAACAGGAUUAGAUACCCGUGUAGUC
This 462-nucleotide ribosomal RNA is filed under the name uncultured Chitinophagaceae bacterium. RNAcentral's name for it is "bacterial SSU rRNA". It matches the Rfam family "Bacterial small subunit ribosomal RNA", at positions 335 to 795 of the family's 1533-position model. The record is from RNAcentral. Lineage: Bacteria; Pseudomonadati; Bacteroidota; Chitinophagia; Chitinophagales; Chitinophagaceae.